Galeopterus variegatus (Sunda flying lemur) is the source of this 908-nucleotide long non-coding RNA. RefSeq lists it as uncharacterized. The transcript is spliced from 2 exons. Lineage: Eukaryota; Metazoa; Chordata; Mammalia; Dermoptera; Cynocephalidae. The record is from RefSeq and is a predicted model, not a curated record.
UGGUCUCAUACAUGUUUAUCAGUUUAAGCACUGACUCCACAAAUGACACUUGAGAAUUAGGGCUUGUUAAUGUUUUGCAGGCAGUGACAGAAGGAAACAGGCAUUAUCGGGAAGGAAUUCAGAUAAGGGAAAAACUUUAUCUUGAUUGCUGCUGACUUAUUGAAUUGGCAGGGGGGUUCAAUUUGGGAGGAAAGCUGUGACCCUAAAUGUUAAAGAAGACAGAGGAUUCUUUGUGGCACUGAAACUUUCUACAAUACCACAGUGGAGGAAAUGCCAACAUAUUAUAUAGCUGACCUUAUUUAAUUCCAGGGAUGAGAUGGUUGUGAAUGCAAUGCUCACUGUUGUGGAAUAGGUGAUUACAGUGUGCAUUUUGCUUCUUUCUGUAGAAAUAUUUGAAUCUUGUCUCAAUGCUCAGAGUGGAUGGAUCAGCAAUACGGAUUUGAUAGCAAAGCAACUUUAGCCCUGAGCUCAUGUGAGGAAAAUCAUUGGCUUUAUCCUCUUUAGAGUUAGACCACUGUGAUUGGGUAUAAAAUAUGGGUGUCUGUAAAAAUCUUUCUUAGCAAUUUAUUUCCUAGUUCUGUAAAACUGGUUAUAUUGGGUGUUCUCUAUCACAUUAUAAUGUAUUUGUGGAUUAUAUGUGCUGUAUAAAAUGAGCCAAUUAUGUUAAACUAGGAUAUCAGCCUUUAUUGGGUUAGUCAUUAGGCUAAAUAGAAUACACUUUAAAAUUAUUUUUUUAAAGUAAAUAUUUGAACUUACUUUGUUUGGAGUUGUGUUUUUAUUCAGAAAAUAUUUUAUUAGUGUUAAAUAUGAAUUGGAGGCUUUUGCUAAGCAACAAUCAUGUCCUAGCGUCAAAUCCUAGAAAAACUGACAUAUUGUAUACCAAAUUCAAUAAAUUACAAUAAGGUAUA